RNAcentral lists this ribosomal RNA (573 nucleotides) under uncultured bacterium. RNAcentral's name for it is "bacterial SSU rRNA". It matches the Rfam family "Bacterial small subunit ribosomal RNA", at positions 9 to 569 of the family's 1533-position model. The record is from RNAcentral.
GAGUUUGAUCCUGGCUCAGAUUGCACGCUGGNNGCAUGCUUUACACAUGCAAGUCGAACGGUAACAGGUCUUCGGAUGCUGACGAGUGGCGAACGGGUGAGUAAUACAUCGGAACGUGCCUAGUAGUGGGGGAUAACUACUCGAAAGAGUAGCUAAUACCGCAUGAGAUCUACGGAUGAAAGCAGGGGACCUUCGGGCCAUUGUGCUACUAGAGCGGCUGAUGGCAGAUUAGGUAGUUGGUGGGGUAAAUGGCUUACCAAGCCUGCAGAUCUGUAGCUGGUCUGAGAGGACGACCAGCCACACUGGGACUGAGACACGGCCCAGACUCCUACGGGAGNGCAGCAGUGGGGAAUUUUGGACAAUGGGCGAAAGCCUGAUCCAGCAAUGCCGCGUGCAGGAUGAAGGCCCUCGGGUUGUAAACUGCUUAUAUGUACGGAACGAAAAGCCUGGGGCUAAUAUACCCCGGGUCAUGACGGUACCGUAAGAAUAAGCANCCGGCUAACUACGUGCCAGACAGCCAGCGGUAAUACGUAGGGUGCAAGCGUCAAUCGGAAUUACUGGGCGUAAAGCGUG